RNAcentral lists this ribosomal RNA (507 nucleotides) under uncultured Planctomycetia bacterium. RNAcentral describes it as "bacterial SSU rRNA". It matches the Rfam family "Bacterial small subunit ribosomal RNA", at positions 9 to 524 of the family's 1533-position model. Lineage: Bacteria; Pseudomonadati; Planctomycetota; Planctomycetia. The record is from RNAcentral.
GAGUUUGAUCUUGGCUCAGAAUGAACGUUGGCGGCGUGGAUUAGGCAUGCAAGUCGUACGAGGGUAUUCCUUCGGGGAUACUUUAGUGGCGUAAGGGAGAGUAACGCGUGGAUACCUGCCCUCUGGUCUGGGAUACCUACGGGAAACUGUAGUUAAUACCGGAUAAAGUCUCCGGACCAAAAGUGUGAUUCUGCCGGAGGAGGGGUCCGCGUCCUAUUAGCUUGUUGGCGAGGUAAUGGCUCACCAAGGCGAUGAUGGGUACGGGGUGUGAGAGCAUGCCCCCGCUCACUGGGACUGAGACACUGCCCAGACACCUACGGGUGGCUGCAGUCGAGAAUCUUCGGCAAUGGGCGCAAGCCUGACCGAGCGACGCCGCGUGCGGGGAUGGAGGCCUUCGGGUUGUAAACCGCUGUCAGUGGGGAAGAAACGCUUUGAGUUAAUAGUUCAAAGCCUGACUUAACCCGGAGAGGAAGCAGUGGCUAACUCUGUGCCAGCAGCCGCCGUAAC